CCUGUUCUGGAACGUGAAGAUGGACGACGUCGGGAGGUUCUAUGCUAUUAUCACAAUCCCGGAGGAUCUCGAUGCACAUAUUAUUUUCUAUCCUCACUCCACCGGUAUUCGGGAGUCGAGGGAUUGAGUGGAGCUUCAGUCGGCUAACAGGUUAGUUUUUCCGUUAUGUUUUUUCCCUGACUCCACGGGUAUUCGGGAGUUAAGGGAUCGAGACAAACCCUUAGUCGGUUGGUACGACUCCCCGAUCAGGUACGAUUACAAGCUCUGAUCUUUUUUUACGAUUAUAGGAACUGUUAUAUUUCCCUGAUAAAAGAGUAAGAGCCUAGUUCCUGGAUCAAAGACUAGAGCCUUCAAUUUCUGAUCGGACACUAGGGGCCCAGCUCCCCGCUCAUACACUUGGGACACAGCUCCCCGCUCAUACUCUAGGGGCACAGCUCCCCACUCAUACACUUGGGACACAGCUCCCCGAUCAUAGACUUGCAGUACCACUUCCCGAUCAGGAUCUAGGGGCCUCGUUCUUUGAUUACGGGCUAGGGAUCUUAUUCUCCGAUUAGGGACCAGGGGCCCAGUUCCUCGAUCAUGUGUGCUACAGGCUCUGCACCCUUCACCAUGAGGCUCUGCAUCCUCUUACUGUUAUAGUCUCUGCACCCUUCAUCAGGGGCUCAGCAUUCUCUACUACUAUAUGCGAUUCAUUUUAUUAUUAUUAUAUGCUUUGCAUUCUCCACUUGUUUUGUAGCCUCUUAUGUCUACAAGCUCUGCUUCUUACACUCGCGAGGCUCUGCUUCCUGCUAUUAUUACGGACUCUGCUCCCUCAUAUGGCUAUGGACUUCACUUCCUUUGACAGUCAAGGCACAAAUUAUUCUCUCCCUGACUCCGCGGAUAUUUGGGAGUCAAGGGAUCAACACUAUUUAUCCACUGACUGUAUGAGCAUUUGGGAGUUGAGCCAAGCCAGCCAGUUGACGUCACUUCACAAUCAGGCACGCCACGUUUGUUCGAUUUAGAAGACGCAUGAAGAUGCCGAUUAACAAAUGAAGCCAACGAAGAUUUUGAAUGGAGUCGGUUGCACCGCUGAAUUAAGAUAAUUGCGUGAUUAGGGAAUGGCACUAACGCGAACCACGAGAAAAUGGCGUCGCGUCACCGCAGCACGUGACCGCCGAAAGGGAAGGGCGAAAGUAUCUCGCUAGGCGUCGCUGUCGCACCGCGUCCGAGAACCUGAAGUGGGGCACCUUUUGGUGUCUUUUGUUCGCUGCCUUUUUUUGUAUCUAUCUUUUUGAGCUUUGUUUACGGGUAAGUGAGCUUUGAUUGCCAAUUGAUUGUACCUAUCAACCAACACAUUCUUCUGCUUAA
Zingiber officinale is the source of this 1347-nucleotide long non-coding RNA. RefSeq lists it as uncharacterized. The transcript is spliced from 2 exons. NCBI's taxonomy places the organism in Eukaryota, Viridiplantae, Streptophyta, Magnoliopsida, Zingiberales, Zingiberaceae. The record is from RefSeq and is a predicted model, not a curated record.